This is a long non-coding RNA of Parus major (Great Tit), 1826 nucleotides long. RefSeq lists it as uncharacterized. The record is from RefSeq and is a predicted model, not a curated record. The transcript has 2 exons. NCBI's taxonomy places the organism in Eukaryota, Metazoa, Chordata, Aves, Passeriformes, Paridae.
UGUUAGUAAUUUUUUGCCAAUAAGAAAUGAAGGUUGUCAUUUUGCUUUUCUUCUUGGAGAUCUGUUAGUGUUUAACCUCUGCUGGCAAAGAAGGACUGUGCAUCUUCGUGCUAAAUGCCUCACCAGUGGGUUGGGGAAGAGAGUCAGAAGAGUCAAGUGAGAAAACUUGGGCUGAGAUACAAUUUAAUAAAGCAAAAGCCACAGACACAGAGCAAAUCAAGGAAUUCAUUCCCCGUUUCCAGUGGACAGUCUUGUGUUCAGCCAUCUCUAGGAAAGCAGGAUUCUCUAUCAUGCCUUAAUGGUGACUUGGGAAGACAAACUCCAUCACUCUGAAUGUCCUCCCACUUCAUUCUUCCCUCAGCUCUAUAUGCUGAGCAUGACACCAUAUGUCCUAGAAUAUCCCUGUGAUCAACUGGGGAUCAGCUGUGUCCCCUCCCAACUCCAUAUCUACCUCCAAACCACUUGCUGGUGGGGUGAUUCAAGCAGAAAAGGCCUAGAUGCCUUGUGAGCAGUAACUAGAACAUCUCUGUGUUGUCAGUGCUGCUUUCUGUGCAAAUCUGAAACACAUCCCCAUAAUUCUGUUGCUACUGUGACAGACAUUAAAUACUCCAUUCAAAACCAGAGCAAGCUCCUUCACAACACAGCUACCAAGCAUGAAGUCCAGCUACCACAGCAGCAAAGGGUCUCCAGAAGGAGCUAGUGAAGAAGCUCAGCAGCAGCCCAGCAAUGCCUCUCUGUAGGAAAACAACUUUGUCUGGACAGAUGCUGUUGAUCUGAACCAAUUCCUGUGACUAGGCACAUGGCUAUGGGCAGCUCCUGCAGAGAGACAAACACCGAGCAGAGAUUUUCCAUAGACAGGAGGACAGCUGUUGUGGGUGCACAGAUGCCAGAUGUCCCAUGGAUUUUGAGUGGAGUCUCCCUGAAGAGAUCCACGUUAGGAGUUACCAGGAUUUGCACUGUCUGACCAUUGCUGUGGAUUUUAACUCCUGGAUUUUGACGUUGUUAGUGAAAGCCACUUGAAAAGGCACAUUGUCAGGCACAUUCCACCUUGACCUCCAAAUCAUAUCCUGGAAACAGGAGAAAAGUAACCUAUAUCUUCUCCCAGCAGUCAUUCACUCCAGGAACUCCACCUGGAUACAGCAUGCUAUUUUUAGAGUUGGCUCUCACUGUCUCCUGACCUAGUGGAUAUUAGGACAGAGGAGUAGCUUCUGAGUAGAAUCCAAGUGCAACCAUGAAAUCCAAGUUGAACGGUGCACCUUUCACCUAGUACAACUCCUAAUGGGGGAUUCAGAGUUCAGAAGGACACUGCCUGCUGAGUUUGCUUCAGGCACCUUGCCUGAAAUGUUUGUCAUAUUUGGAUGAAAGACGAUUACCUGGAUCAGAGAAGGGGAGAGCGCUAAAUAUCACCUAAAAAUUGAAUUAUUUAGAUGUAUUUUAAGGGGGAGAGGAAUGUACAAUUAAAAAAUUAAAAAUCACAUCCAGAAAGAUAGCCUAGCACUGUGUGAUAAUUCUCCUGUGUCUCACACAGGCAAAGCUCCUCUCUCUCUCUAAGGCAGUGCAUUCCAUCUACCAUGAGCAGCUCCGUGCUUGAUCUUCUGCUGAGACACUUAGGGGAAUAACCAAGCACACAAUGUUUCCUGUUGCUCCCAUGCAUCACUACCAGAAGCCUAUCACCUUCCAUCAUGAGUCUCUCCAGGCUAAAUCAUACCUUUGACUCACCAACUCUCCACCAAAUGCUUUGUAAUGGGUACGCCACGACCUGUUACCUGUUUAUUGGUGUAGUAAAUGCUGUUUCUAGAAUAAACUGAUGAAUGUGAUGCCAUUCA